UAGAGCUUUUCAUUCGUGAUCAAUUCUUUUUUCAAUCAAAUUCCCGAAAGUUUCCACUAUUUUUCUCCAGGUAUUAGAUGCUGAUGGUGUAGACAUUUGCCUCUACCCCAUAAUUUGUUUAGCUCUUUGUGCAAUAGAUUUCAUUAAAAAAAAAAAAAGGUUUAUUUGUUUUGACAGGUCCAUGUGCCACCAUCGUGUCAUGCCAUGAACAUGUCAUAAUAUAAAAUAGUCCCCGCAAUUAGCUCGGUGGUACAAUGACGUAGAAAUGGCUGUCUUAUAAUUUCUGAGAUUUUGAAACCCAAUCCCAGUGCUCCCUAUAAACACCCUCAUUUAUGAGAUGGCUGUUUCUCUGGUUUCAGUAGGGACAGGAGCCAAGAUAAACCGCCGGCCUCUAUCGUCAUCAGUGCUGUAGAGGUGGCCGACCUGCAGAAGGGACAGCGGGUCCAACAGGACAGUGCCCAUGCCCAACGAUAAAAAGACGGCUAUCUCGAAGGGUUAUGUGAACCGCUCUGAUUGACAUGGUGCCUCAUAAGAACAAAAUAUGACAGCAAAAAAAGUGAAGGUCAUUUUCACGUUUCCCCUCUGGGUUCAGAGACGAUGAAUGUGAAUUCCGGGCGUGACGGAAGCCUCAGUGCAAGGAGUGGAUUUGGGGAGAGUCACUAGCAGGUUUCCAACCCUCUCUGUAUGUAACUUCCCGCUCAACAAGCAGAGGGAGAGAAGAAGCCCCGCGUGCCUCCUUGCCUUGUCCGGGCUCAGUGAGCAGGAUUCAGCCUUUGGUGUGGGGCUGGAGCAGAGGGUCAGAAGCACGUGUGCCAGGAAAGGAAGGGUUUCAUGAAUCCGCAAAGGAACAAUGACUGAGCCUCCUAUAAAACUAUCAUGGGAUGAGUCGACAUCUGCUCAAAAUGCUGAACUCCCCACGGUGGCACCGAGGGAAGGAGGCCUCACUGCUCGGCUAUGGCUCCAGCCCUGCACGUACCUGGUGCUCACAGCCACCCUCAUGGUUCCUCAUGGCCUCCCCAUUCCGUCUCCAGUGCUGGAACCUCCCCAGAUCUGAUCCCUCCCCAACUGCAUUUCUGACUUAUGCUGUCACCUCAGAGGUUUUAGUCGCAUCCCUGCAGGGACACCCCAGCACGUGGUCCUAUCGCCGAAGCCGGCCCUGGAGGGACUGUUCCGAGUGGUAGUUUCCAAGUUCCAGGUCACCUUGGAACCAAGCCCUUCCCUGCUGGGAAUGGGGGUCUUGGGCUGGCAGGGUGGGGGCUGCCUGGGAAUAAAACAGACAUGGCGACAAAUGGUUUGAUAUGUUCGAUGGGCAGAAAAUACAGUUCUCGGCUUUCACCCGGGCAGUGACAAGGCCUUGAGGCAGAUCCUGGGUGGGCCGCAGCCUGAGCAUAGGUCGGGGUGGAGCAUCUGUCACGCAAGUGGAAGGCAGAACUUCCGUUGUGUUUAUGGUAGUGUUUUUGUACUUAAUAUACAAGAAUUUGACAAAGCACUACAGUCUAAUCAUCUAAUAAUAUCUAUUUUACCCCUUCAAAUUAUUAUCUCUAGUCUUAAAAUGUUAAAUAUGUCACUAUCCUAAGAGAGUAACAUAAAACUCAGUUUAUAAUAUUAAAACUCUUGUGACACAAUGGUAUCAAUCACAUUCCCUAUAACAUUAAACUUUUCUUGUUUUUCUUUAAUUCUGCAUUUUUAGUGUAACAAAUGGGGAGUAAAACAGCAGCUUUUGUUCAUAAUUUCUCGGCAGAAGAGUUACAAGCCGAACGACGAUGAUGACGACAACCGCAGAGUCACAAGGGUCCUGAUGCCAGGAAGGUUCCAGGUGGAUGAUGGAGCUGGCGGUCGGGGCGGGAGUCGUUCGGACUCAGGUCGGCCCCAGGCUGCCUGCAGAGGACUGAGGGCGAUUGGGAAAAUUGCAGACCUUGGAAGAAUAUGAGCUGUUCCUCUAAGGUUUCAUUUUUUUUCUCCGUCGAUUUUUAUGCGCUCUCUGCAUAUUUUACUUUAAAGGCAGAGUAACCUGUCCUAGACUUGGAAUUAUUUUUUUAAUAAAUGUGCUCAUAUAGCUUAACACUUA
This is a long non-coding RNA of Canis lupus familiaris (dog), 2068 nucleotides long. RefSeq lists it as uncharacterized. The transcript has 4 exons. The record is from RefSeq and is a predicted model, not a curated record. Lineage: Eukaryota; Metazoa; Chordata; Mammalia; Carnivora; Canidae.